RNAcentral lists this ribosomal RNA (253 nucleotides) under uncultured Methylobacter sp. RNAcentral describes it as "partial 16S ribosomal RNA". It matches the Rfam family "Bacterial small subunit ribosomal RNA", at positions 524 to 776 of the family's 1533-position model. The record is from RNAcentral. Lineage: Bacteria; Pseudomonadati; Pseudomonadota; Gammaproteobacteria; Methylococcales; Methylococcaceae.
UACGGAGGGUGCGAGCGUUAAUCGGAAUUACUGGGCGUAAAGCGUGCGUAGGUGGUUCGUUAAGUCAGAUGUGAAAGCCCUGGGCUCAACCUGGGAACUGCAUUUGAAACUGGUGGACUAGAGUUUGGUAGAGGGGAGUGGAAUUUCAGGUGUAGCGGUGAAAUGCGUAGAUAUCUGAAGGAACACCAGUGGCGAAGGCGACUCCCUGGACUAAAACUGACGCUGAGGUACGAAAGCGUGGGUAGCAAACAGG